RNAcentral lists this ribosomal RNA (373 nucleotides) under uncultured bacterium. RNAcentral describes it as "bacterial SSU rRNA". It matches the Rfam family "Bacterial small subunit ribosomal RNA", at positions 28 to 400 of the family's 1533-position model. The record is from RNAcentral.
GACGAACGCUGGCGGCGUGCUUAACACAUGCAAGUCGAGCGGUAAGGCCCUUUCGGGGGUACACGAGCGGCGAACGGGUGAGUAACACGUGGGUGACCUGCCCUCAGCUCUGGGAUAAGCCUGGGAAACCGGGUCUAAUACUGGAUAUGACUCCAUGACGCAUGUUGUGGGGUGGAAAGCCUUGUGCGGCUGAGGAUGGGCCCGCGGCCUAUCAGCUUGUUGGUGGGGUGANGGCCUACCAAGGCGACGACGGGUAGCCGGCCUGAGAGGGCGACCGGCCACACUGGGACUGAGACACGGCCCAGACUCCUACGGGAGGCAGCAGGUGGGGAAUCUUGCGCAAGUGGGCGAAAGCCUGACGCAGCGACGCCGC